This 444-nucleotide ribosomal RNA is filed under the name Triticum aestivum (bread wheat). Its description in RNAcentral is "partial small subunit ribosomal RNA". Lineage: Eukaryota; Viridiplantae; Streptophyta; Magnoliopsida; Poales; Poaceae. The record is from RNAcentral.
GUCCUGUUCCCCAUGUUCCAGGAGCUUGCACCAGACAACCCAGAUGACAAGUGUGGUCACCACUACGCGAUUUGCCUUGACCUAAAGAACCAACGAUUUGAGGUGCUUGAUUCAAUGCGUUCAGGAGCUGAUGAAGACCUUACUACACAUGUUGAAUUCUUCAUCAACAACCUCAAGGAGACAUGGAACCGUCACUACGAAAACUCAAAGGUCCAGAUCAGACAUUUUCCAAUCGAGUAUGUCGCGACUACGAAACAAGGAAACCGGCAUGACUGUGGCUUUCACACAUUGGAAUACCUUGCAAAGUGGGAAGGGCGACGGGUCCCUGUCGUCACAGCUGCAAUGGUCGUUGAGCUCCGUAAAAUAUACACAUGGAACUGGUUGAUGAAUGAAUAUUUCAACAAGCGGGCCAACGCACGAGAGUUCAUAGAGGAAGCUAUCAAA